UCCCACCUGACUCCAUACCGAACUCAGAAGUGAAACGCAGUAACGCCGAUGGUAGUGUGGGGUUUCCCCAUGUGAGAGUAGGGCAACAUCAGG
RNAcentral lists this ribosomal RNA (93 nucleotides) under Bibersteinia trehalosi. Lineage: Bacteria; Pseudomonadati; Pseudomonadota; Gammaproteobacteria; Pasteurellales; Pasteurellaceae. The record is from RNAcentral.